GACGAACGCUGGCGGCGUGCUUAACACAUGCAAGUCGAACGGAAAGGCCCUGCUUUUGUGGGGUGCUCGAGUGGCGAACGGGUGAGUAACACGUGAGUAACCUGCCCUUUACUUUGGGAUAACUUCAGGAAACUGGGGCUAAUACCGGAUAGGAGCUCCUGCUGCAUGGUGGGGGUUGGAAAGUUUCGGCGGUUGGGGAUGGACUCGCGGCUUAUCAGCUUGUUGGUGGGGUAGUGGCUUACCAAGGCUUUGACGGGUAGCCGGCCUGAGAGGGUGACCGGCCACAUUGGGACUGAGAUACGGCCCAGACUCCUACGGGAGGCAGCAGUGGGGAAUAUUGCACAAUGGGCGGAAGCCUGAUGCAGCAACGCCGCGUGCGGGAUGACGGACUUCGGGUUGUAAACCGAGUUCGCCUGUGACGAAGCGUGAGUGACGGUAAUGGGUAAAGAAGAACCGGCUAACUACGUG
This 468-nucleotide ribosomal RNA is filed under the name uncultured bacterium. RNAcentral describes it as "partial 16S ribosomal RNA". It matches the Rfam family "Bacterial small subunit ribosomal RNA", at positions 28 to 507 of the family's 1533-position model. The record is from RNAcentral.